GAUGAACGCUGGCGGCGUGCCUAAUACAUGCAAGUCGAGCGAACAGACGAGGAGCUUGCUCCUCUGACGUUAGCGGCGGACGGGUGAGUAACACGUGGAUAACCUACCUAUAAGACUGGGAUAACUUCGGGAAACCGGAGCUACUACCGGAUAAUAUAUUGAACGGCAUGGUUCAAUAGUGAAAGACGGUUUUGCUGUCACUUAUAGAUGGACCCGCGCCGCAUUAGCUAGUUGGUAAGGGAACGGCCUACCAAGGCAACGAUGCGUAGCCGACCUGAGAGGUUGAUCGGCCACACUGGAACUGAGACACGGUCCAGACUCCUACGGGAGGCAGCAGUAGGGAAUCUUCCACAAUGGGCGAAAGCCUGACGCAGCCACGCCGCGUGAGUGAAGAAGGCCUUCGGAUUGUAAAGCCCUUUUAUUAGGAAAGAACAAAUGUGUAUUUAACUAUGCCCGUCUUGACGGUACCUAAUCAGAAAGCCACGGCUAACUACGU
RNAcentral lists this ribosomal RNA (496 nucleotides) under uncultured bacterium. RNAcentral describes it as "partial 16S ribosomal RNA". It matches the Rfam family "Bacterial small subunit ribosomal RNA", at positions 28 to 506 of the family's 1533-position model. The record is from RNAcentral.